Long non-coding RNA from Monodelphis domestica (gray short-tailed opossum), 3119 nucleotides. RefSeq lists it as uncharacterized. Lineage: Eukaryota; Metazoa; Chordata; Mammalia; Didelphimorphia; Didelphidae. The record is from RefSeq and is a predicted model, not a curated record.
UUCCCUUUUAAUUAGGUCUAUUUUUGCUUUUGCUUUGUCUGAGAUCAUGAUUGCUAUGGAAUCCAUUUUCAAAUGUCUGACAAAGUUAUCCAGUCUUAAAAUAUGAUCUGUUACAGCUAAGUAUUUGUUGAUAUCUUCCAAGUGGUUAAGGGAAUUUUCAGGAUUACCUUAUCUAAAGAUUAGCUGUGUCACAAUGGGAACUUUGGCAGACAAAGAAAAGCUUUUUCCAUCCAAUAGAAGUCAUCUCUAAUACUGGACUUUUGGAUGUGUUUGAAAGGGGAGUGGAAAGGGAAUGGUAUUCUUUUAACUGGGGUCUGCCCAACAAACUUCAGAUCAGAACAUACAGAGAAUGUGGUAUGGAGGCAGAAAGAAAUGGCCUUUCAGUCUGAAGACCUGGAUUUAAGUCUUGACUUUUAACAAUAUUUAACAGCCAUGAUGGCAUGGGCAUACAAGUCUGGGCUUCAGUUUCUUCGCCUCUAAAAUGGAGGGCAAUACCAUUUAAUUCACUUAGUUAUUAUGAGAAUCACAUGAUAUAAUGCAUAUUAAGUCUAAAGUUCUAUGCGAACAGUAUUUUUAGUUGUUAUUUUAAAUAAAGGGAGCCUUUUCUCUACAAACUAGGAGAUCUGUGUUCUCAGGCAGGCUCUGUCACUAAUAAGUCAUCUAACUUUGAAUUCCCUUUCUCAAAGCCUUAGUUUCCCUGUCUGUAAAUAGAGGGGAUAGGCUAGAUGGUCUCUAUGUCUUUUGCUUCUAUACCAGGAUCCUAAAAUGAGAAAACUUCUCUUGAAGUUGGAAGAUAGUGGUUUAAACUAAAUUGUAAUUCCCAAAAUAGAGAUGAAACUUAUGGUUCUCAUUACCUCAAACCAACAGAAAUCACAAAUAGGUUCCAGACAAGGUUUAGUUAAAUUCCCCCAUUAGAGCCAUGAUCUAGGCUAGGGAAACACAGAGGCCUUAUAGGUAAGAACAAAGAGAACCUUAAUUCUCUUAAGCUGUUCCCCUUCUGGUGUGGGGGACUGGAUGGCAGAGGGAUACCAAGGGCAAGAGGUGACAAAGACAAUGAGAAAGAAAUUACUCCAAGAAAUCCCCCCAAAGUCCCCAUUACAGGCUGAAAGCUUUCAUUUGCUCCUUCUUUCUCCCUCAGAACUAAAAGCUGCCCUUGCCACCCUGUGCAGACCAGGGGAACCUUCCCCAUAGCCUUUUAUGUGGUUUGGCUAGAGGUAGAGUCUUCCUUUUUAUGAGGCUUGCUCUAGGUUCCCAGAGAAGCCAUGGCUCCUGAGCCAAGCUCAGAUGGUGGGAGAGAGCAACUGUAAGAAGCCAAACUACUCCUACCACAAAGACUUGAGACAUCCCUUUUCCUCUCCUCCUCCACAUGUAUAUCAAUAGGCCUGGGGCCAUAUACUGGACCAAUCAAGCAAGCUGGGAGCCUACUAAAGUUGUGGCCUCACUGAGAACAGUGUCCUUGCUACUGUACCAAUCUACCUUUUAUUAUUUCUCAGUCAUUGUCAAAUGUUGCCAUUAAGAAUGCAGGCACAGUUGGAAUCCUCUCAAGUUGGGUAUGUGUCCUUUGAAGACCAGGGUGCCAUACAUCAGAGGAACCAGAAUUACUGUUCCCCUUUCCUGAAGAACAGAACCACUGGUUGAGUACUCAGCUCUUGCUGAAAGAAAAAAAAAAAGAUAUGAGACCCAGAACUUUGUUGUUGUUGAAUUGUUUUCCGGUAUGUCCAACUCUUUGUGAUCCAAUUUGGGACACUGGAGUGGUUUGCCAUUUCCUUCUCCAACUCAUUUUAUAGAUGAAGAAACUGAGGCAAACAAGGUUAACUGGUCUCUAUACUUGGCUUGAACUUCUCUAGUGAUGGGAAACUCAGUACUUUUUGAGGCUGCCCAUUCUACUUUUGGAUAGCUCUACUCAUUAAGAAGCUUAUCCUUUUAUCAAGUCUAACAUGAUAUCUUCAGAGUUUUUGUCCUUUCUCUUGGCUCUACCAACUGGGCUAAACUAAGUCUAAUUCUUAUUUCACUUAACAGCCCUUCAAAUACUUAAAGGCAAUAACUAAAGGACUAUCACUUAUGUUUUGGACACUUAAGAUUCUAUUAAUGCAAUUAAUGAUUGAAUUUGAUCUUUUGACUAUCACAUCACUCUUUAUGACCUCAGGUACUCAGUAAUAGAGAGCAAAGGAAAGUCAGGGACAGUACUAUUGACUGCUCAGGUUAAUUCCCAAGGCUGCCUCCUAUAAGCAUUAUUCUCUCCCUAUCCACCUCACCCCAUGUUUUUUUUUAAGAAGGAAUCUAUUCUCUUCUCUCCAGGGCACAGUUACAGUUAUAUCCAGGAGAAGCAAAGCAAUAUGUUAAGCAGAUGUCCUAAGUAAGCUUAAAAGAUGAAACCAGGAUACCAUCUGUACCUCAGUACCCUGGGCUAAAUGUUUUCCUUUUCUUUUUUAAUAUAACAUAAUUUUCAGGAUCCUCAACUGACCACACGCAUAUACUCAUACACAGAUGCACUGCUCCAGGCACAUUCACUUCCAAGAAGUGAGUUUCCAACAUAGGAAGAUCUAUGUGAAUGUGUGUCCACUAUGUAACCUGCUUUGUAGCACAGUUGGACCAAGCCAGCAUGUUUAAGUCUGGAUUUCCAGAUAAUGGGUAUUCAUUUUACAAAAAGGAUUGACCCCAAGGGGUCCAUUAAAUAGAAACCUCCUCUGGUGCAUUUAAAAUAGGAUUCAGUUCACAAAAAAAAAAAUUCAUUCGAUCCAACUUAAGGAGAGAGUCAAACAUUCCUGGGAAACUGGAAUAAAGUGAUAGGAAGAUUGGAAAGAGAGCAUCACAGAGGCACAUGGGAAGGAAGAGAAAUAUAACUAAUGGCAUGAUUUAGGGGGACUAAAAUUUCCGACUAUCUUUUAUUGGGACAAUUGAGACAUCAUGAGUUCCAGAGCAGCCUGUGCAAGUUUCUUUCAUUCCUUUAAGUAGUGACACUUCCAUGCUUUUCUUUCUCCUUUUUGUUUUUACCCUAAGAAGACACAUGAAAUACUGACCCAAUAGAAGCUCAGUCCUCAGAGAACAAAGACCAUUUCAACAAACAAUGGAAACUGCCUGGUGAAAAAAAAAACAAGCACAUAGAAAUUUCAUGGCUA